This 572-nucleotide long non-coding RNA is filed under the name Volvox carteri. Its description in RNAcentral is "long non-coding RNA (VCAR_LNC003371)". Lineage: Eukaryota; Viridiplantae; Chlorophyta; Chlorophyceae; Chlamydomonadales; Volvocaceae. The record is from RNAcentral.
GUAGUUGAGGCUAUGUCCCCGGGGAAGCUCUUGGCCGAUUAAGGCCUACAAUGUUGUGCGGUGGGCGCCUGCUUGCACCCGCUGGGCUCGUCAGGGUGUUGCCCACGAGAGCAACUCUGGCUCCUCCAAGUGCAAGCGAGUAGCCCAUUGAACUGCUGCCCCCUGCAGCACGUCCCAUAGCACCGAGGCGCAGGGCACACGACAUGACACACGAUACACACUUCGGUGCAGCACGAGUUUCCACGCAAAGCAGCUGUACUUGUAUCCGUUAGCGAGAGGGGGUGGGGAGGGGCCGGAGGAAAUGAGAACAUGAAUGAAUGGAAUGUGCUGAACGGCCACACAACAUCGGUCUUCAGUCUCUCCCACAGUGUUUCCUGUUCCUCUUGAUAAUUACGAUGUGCGCACCUGCAGUCAAUCGGUCGUCAUCGGCAUCCUCGCCAUCAGUGCCGUACAAGUCUGCUUGGUUGAUGUAUGUCACCAGUUGCACCACCGGUGAUGCUGCUGCUGGUAAGGAUGGUGUCGGGGCAUUGCACUCUCGUAUUGUGCUAUUGCGGACGGGCACUGAACCUUUU